Molecule: ribosomal RNA, 373 nt
Filed under: uncultured organism
Description: partial 16S ribosomal RNA
Rfam family: Bacterial small subunit ribosomal RNA
Source: RNAcentral
GGGGGGGGGCGAGCGUUAUUCGGAAUUAUUGGGCGUAAAGGGCGUGUAGGCGGCUUCGUAUGUCUCCUGUGAAAGCCCUCGGGCUCAACCGAGGAACUGCAGGAGAAACUGCGGAGAUCGAGUCCGGGAGAGGAGAGCGGAAUUCCCAGUGUAGCGGUGAAAUGCGUAGAUAUUGGGAGGAACACCAGUGGCGAAGGCGGCUCUCUGGACCGGUACUGACGCUGAGACGCGAAAGCUAGGGGAGCAAACGGGAUUAGAUACCCCGGUAGUCCUAGCUGUAAACGAUGAGCACUUGGUGUGGCGGGUAUCGACCCCUGCCGUGCCGAAGCUAACGCAUUAAGUGCUCCGCCUGGGGAGUACGGCCGCAAGGCUG